UAAUACGUAGGGUGCAAGCGUUGUCCGGAAUUAUUGGGCGUAAAGAGCUCGUAGGCGGUCUGUCGCGUCGGACGUGAAAAUCCAGGGCUCAACCCUGGACCUGCGUUCGAUACGGGCAGACUAGAGUUCGGUAGGGGAGACUGGAAUUCCUGGUGUAGCGGUGAAAUGCGCAGAUAUCAGGAGGAACACCGGUGGCGAAGGCGGGUCUCUGGGCCGAAACUGACGCUGAGGAGCGAAAGCGUGGGGAGCGAACAGGA
Molecule: ribosomal RNA, 257 nt
Filed under: uncultured prokaryote
Description: partial 16S ribosomal RNA
Rfam family: Bacterial small subunit ribosomal RNA
Source: RNAcentral